UACAGAGGGGGCAAGCGUUGUUCGGAAUUACUGGGCGUAAAGGGCGCGUAGGCGGCCCGCUAAGUCGAACGUGAAAUCCCCGAGCUCAACUCGGGAACUGCGUCCGAUACUGGUGGGCUUGAAUCCGGGAGAGGGAUGCGGAAUUCCAGGUGUAGCGGUGAAAUGCGUAGAUAUCUGGAGGAACACCGGUGGCGAAGGCGGCAUCCUGGACCGGUAUUGACGCUGAGGCGCGAAAGCUAGGGGAGCAAAC
This 250-nucleotide ribosomal RNA is filed under the name uncultured bacterium. Its description in RNAcentral is "partial 16S ribosomal RNA". It matches the Rfam family "Bacterial small subunit ribosomal RNA", at positions 524 to 773 of the family's 1533-position model. The record is from RNAcentral.